Non-coding RNA from Hydra vulgaris (swiftwater hydra), 331 nucleotides. NCBI's taxonomy places the organism in Eukaryota, Metazoa, Cnidaria, Hydrozoa, Anthoathecata, Hydridae. The record is from RefSeq and is a predicted model, not a curated record.
AUUUAUGAAAUAAUUAAUACUCUUUGAAUGUGGAGCACGUUUUCACCUGGUUAUCGUCGAAGAUUAAAUUUAAAUUGAUUGCUGAGGAUACUAAAUUUAGAAGAGUGCAAUUCUCAAACCGUAUUAAAGAUGCUUUGUCAAGAAAUAAAGUAGUAAGGGAAAGAGUGUUUCCAGUUUGCUUUCCUUCAAAAAGUUCUUAUACUGGUCAUUUUACUAGAGAUUCUCCAGACUUAACCCCAAAAAAAAAACAGAAAAGUAAAAACCUUACUUCUUCAUUCUACACAUUCUCAGAGAGAGGUUGCAAGCGUUUCAAAGUCAGUAGUGAGUCGAA